AAUAGAUACCCGGGUAGUCCACGCCGUAAACGAUGAGUGCUAAGUGUUAGGGGGUUUCCGCCCCUUAGUGCUGCAGCUAACGCAUUAAGCACUCCGCCUGGGGAGUACGGUCGCAAGACUGAAACUCAAAGGAAUUGACGGGGGCCCGCACAAGCGGUGGAGCAUGUGGUUUAAUUCGAAGCAACGCGAAGAACCUUACCAGGUCUUGACAUCCCAUUGACCGCUAUGGAGACAUAGCUUUCCCUUCGGGGACAGUGGUGACAGGUGGUGCAUGGUUGUCGUCAGCUCGUGUCGUGAGAUGUUGGGUUAAGUCCCGCAACGAGCGCAACCCUUGUUCUUAGUUGCCAUCAUUUAGUUGGGCACUCUAAGGAGACUGCCGGUGACAAACCGGAGGAAGGUGGGGAUGACGUCAAAUCAUCAUGCCCCUUAUGACCUGGGCUACACACGUGCUACAAUGGACGGUACAAACGGUUGCCAACCCGCGAGGGGGAGCUAAUCCGAUAAAACCGUUCUCAGUUCGGAUUGUAGGCUGCAACUCGCCUACNGU
This 547-nucleotide ribosomal RNA is filed under the name uncultured bacterium. Its description in RNAcentral is "bacterial SSU rRNA". It matches the Rfam family "Bacterial small subunit ribosomal RNA", at positions 777 to 1322 of the family's 1533-position model. The record is from RNAcentral.